UUCAUCUUUUUGUUUUCUUUCACUGCGCAGCUACUCCCAUCUCACUCUGUCCCCGCUGCCGACCAUCCAUUUUGUUGUCAUUCUCGUCGAUUCCGUGCAAAGGUGAGUCACCGUUGAACGUCCGACCUCGACCCUCCGCUCUUCUUUCUUAGUUCGUUGUGCGUCGCUGUUCAAGACUUUAAACCGAGACCUCUCUCGCCACCGAUCGUGGUGUCGCGGUUUUCCGUGGUCGUCGAGUGGUUGGACCGCUCGUGAAGAAGGUUGCACCGGUCUGGUAACGGUGUGUCUUACCUUCUUCGGCCAUGGGUGGCCACUAUCGAGUACCUUUCGAUCGUUUUGGGCUUCCUUUGGGCAGCCAAGGUUGUCGUUCCACCAAGCCAUGGCUGCUGCCAUGGUGCUUGUCACCGACAGUCGUGGGGCAGCAGUAGUUGCUGCCAUAUUUGUUCGGCAGUCCCUUUAGUUCGAAUCAAAUCCCACUGCCCGGUGAUAUCGAAUCGGAAUCAAAUCUAUCGCCUCCUCCACCGUUACCGGUUAACUUUGAACCAAAUCGGGUUACAAGAAUCGACAAUGAGUAUCAGAGCCGAUUCAGUUUGAUCCAUGGUUGGGCCGAUCAUGGGAAGCGCAAUUGUCGUGGUUAACUAUUUGUCGAGGUGUGUUUAUUUUCGGUGCUGCAUUAUUUUAUUUGGUUGUUUAUUUGUUUGUUAGUUGAAAUUGAAUGAAAACAUGUUCGUCUGUGGGACUGUUUGUGCUAUAAAUGUCAUGGGUUAUUUGUUAAAUUAUUGGAAUCAGAAUAUUGCUGUGUAUUUAUAAUAUGAGAUUGUGUUGUGAUAUCGGAAUCGGAAUAUAAGUGUUUCGGAAUAUUUGUUAUUAAAUAUUGCUAUUCGGAUCAUAUCAGAAUUCAAAUAUAUGAUAUUCGAGUAUGUGUUAUUUAGAUAUAUCUUAUUUGAAUCUGAUCAAAUAUCGGAUAUGUGUCAUUUGUAUGUCAUAUUGAGACGAAUUUUGAUAAGGGAAGUUAAGUGCAUUCACUC
This is a long non-coding RNA of Hibiscus syriacus, 1028 nucleotides long. RefSeq lists it as uncharacterized. The transcript is spliced from 3 exons. NCBI's taxonomy places the organism in Eukaryota, Viridiplantae, Streptophyta, Magnoliopsida, Malvales, Malvaceae. The record is from RefSeq and is a predicted model, not a curated record.